Molecule: long non-coding RNA, 499 nt
Organism: Talpa occidentalis (Iberian mole)
Lineage: Eukaryota; Metazoa; Chordata; Mammalia; Eulipotyphla; Talpidae
Exons: 4
Source: RefSeq, a predicted model, not a curated record
GGACUCUCUGUAAAAUACCUGGCCAAUACUUUUUAAUACUGUAAAUGUUAAAAGAACAAGGAAAGGUUGAACAACUUUCACAGCUGAGAGAAGCCUCAGGAGACAUGACAACUAAAUGUACUGUGGCAUCCAGGAUGGGACACUGGAACAGAAAAAGGCAUUAGGUAAAAAAUGAAGAAACUAACUGGAGAGAUAUGGGAAGAUACCAGAGGCCCUUGGUCUUUUGAGGAAAGAGUAUGAUGAAGAAACUAACUGGAGAGAUAUGGGAAGAUACCAGAGGCCCUUGGUCUUUUGAGGAAGGAGUAUGUAUCUUCUAUCUGAUGUUCCUGGAGCAGAUCCUAAAGAAACAAAUGUUCUCUCUGAAGCUUAUAAACAACUAUCAACAGUUUUCCUCCAAAAAUGAAAACCUUAAGAUUGGCAACAAAUUUAAAGGCGAUCAAGCAGGUGUUAACGGCAUACAGAACUAUGUCAUUGUUAUAAAAGAAUGUUAUAAAAGAAC